RNAcentral lists this transfer RNA (71 nucleotides) under Marmota monax (woodchuck). Its description in RNAcentral is "tRNA.Ala". It matches the Rfam family "tRNA". From Rfam's summary of the family: Transfer RNA (tRNA) molecules are approximately 80 nucleotides in length. Their secondary structure includes four short double-helical elements and three loops (D, anti-codon, and T loops). Further hydrogen bonds mediate the characteristic L-shaped molecular structure. tRNAs have two regions of fundamental functional importance: the anti-codon, which is responsible for specific mRNA codon recognition, and the 3' end, to which the tRNAs corresponding amino acid is attached (by aminoacyl-tRNA synthetases). tRNAs cope with the degeneracy of the genetic code in two manners: having more than one tRNA (with a specific anti-codon) for a particular amino acid; and 'wobble' base-pairing, i.e. permitting non-standard base-pairing at the 3rd anti-codon position. Lineage: Eukaryota; Metazoa; Chordata; Mammalia; Rodentia; Sciuridae. The record is from RNAcentral.
GGGUGUUGCUCAGUAGUAAAGCACAUGCUUGGCAUGCAUGAGGUCCUGGGUUCAAUCCCCAGCACCAAACA